RNAcentral lists this ribosomal RNA (450 nucleotides) under uncultured Diversispora. RNAcentral's name for it is "SSU rRNA". It matches the Rfam family "Eukaryotic small subunit ribosomal RNA", at positions 569 to 1021 of the family's 1831-position model. The record is from RNAcentral. Lineage: Eukaryota; Fungi; Glomeromycota; Glomeromycetes; Diversisporales; Diversisporaceae.
AGCAGCCGCGGUAAUUCCAGCUCCAAUAGCGUAUAUUAAAGUUGUUGCAGUUAAGAAGCUCGUAGUUGAACUUCGGGGUUUACUCAUUGGUCAGGCUUAAUUGUCUGUACUGGUGAGAUAAAUCUCUACCUUCUGAGGAACUUUCAUGCCAUUUAUUUGGUGUGAUUGGAAAUCAGGACUAUUACUUUGAAAAAAUUAGAGUGUUUAAAGCAGGCUAACGUCUGAAUAUAUUAGCAUGGAAUAAUGAAAUAGGGCGGCUUGGUUCUAUUUCGUUGGUUUCUAGGAUCACCGUAAUGAUUAAUAGGGAUAGUUGGGGGCAUUAGUAUUCAAUUGUCAGAGGUGAAAUUCUUGGAUUUAUUGAAGACUAACUACUGCGAAAGCAUUUGCCAAGGAUGUUUUCAUUAAUCAAGAACGAAAGUUAGGGGAUCGAAGACGAUCAGAUACCGUCGU